This 96-nucleotide signal recognition particle RNA is filed under the name Rickettsiales bacterium. RNAcentral's name for it is "signal recognition particle sRNA small type". It matches the Rfam family "Bacterial small signal recognition particle RNA". From Rfam's summary of the family: The signal recognition particle (SRP) is a universally conserved ribonucleoprotein involved in the co-translational targeting of proteins to membranes. Lineage: Bacteria; Pseudomonadati; Pseudomonadota; Alphaproteobacteria; Rickettsiales. The record is from RNAcentral.
UCCGAGGUUUGGCGGACGGCCUGCUCUCGCAACCUGGUCAGGUUCGGAAGAAAGCAGCCAAGCGCGCGCCGGCCGGGUCGCCAAAACCUCGCUUCA